Molecule: non-coding RNA, 73 nt
Organism: Dictyocaulus viviparus (bovine lungworm)
Lineage: Eukaryota; Metazoa; Nematoda; Chromadorea; Rhabditida; Metastrongylidae
Source: Rfam
GACCCGGUAGUGUAAUGGAUCAGCACAGCAGACCGGAUAUCUUUAAGUGCGGGUUCGAGUCCUGCCUGAGGUU